GACGAACGCUGGCGGCGUGCUUAACACAUGCAAGUCGAACGGAAAGGCCCUGCUUUUGUGGGGUGCUCGAGUGGCGAACGGGUGAGUAACACGUGAGUAACCUGCCCUUGACUUUGGGAUAACUUCAGGAAACUGGGGCUAAUACCGGAUAGGAGCUCCUGCUGCCUGGUGUGGGUUGGAACGUUUCGGCGGUUGGGGAUGGACUCGCGGCUUAUCAGCUUGUUGGUGGGGUAGUGGCUUACCAAGGCUUUGAUGGGUAGCCGGCCUGAGAGGGUGACCGGCCACAUUGGGACUGAGAUACGGCCCAGACUCCUAAGGGAGGCAGCAGUGGGGAAUAUUGCACGAUGGGCGGAAGCCUGAUGCAGCAACGCCGCGUGCGGGAUGACGGCCUUCGGGUUGUAAACCGCUUUCGCCUGUGACGAAGCGUGAGUGACGGUAAUGGGUAAAGAAGCACCGGCUAACUACGUG
RNAcentral lists this ribosomal RNA (468 nucleotides) under uncultured bacterium. RNAcentral describes it as "partial 16S ribosomal RNA". It matches the Rfam family "Bacterial small subunit ribosomal RNA", at positions 28 to 507 of the family's 1533-position model. The record is from RNAcentral.